RNAcentral lists this ribosomal RNA (453 nucleotides) under uncultured bacterium. Its description in RNAcentral is "bacterial SSU rRNA". It matches the Rfam family "Bacterial small subunit ribosomal RNA", at positions 328 to 770 of the family's 1533-position model. The record is from RNAcentral.
CCACGGGGGGCCUACGGGAGGCAGCAGUGGGGAAUAUUGCGCAAUGGGCGAAAGCCUGACGCAGCGCCGCCGCGUGAGGGAUGAAGGCCUUCGGGUCGUAAACCUCUGUCAGGAGGGAAGAAGUGCAUGGGUAGUAACUGACUCAUCUUUGACGGUACCUCCAGAGGAAGCCCCGGCUAACUCCGUGCCAGCAGCCGCGGUAAUACGUAGGUUGCAAGCGUUAUCCGGAAUUACUGGGCGUAAAGCGCGCGUAGGCGGCUUUGUAAGUCAGAGGUGAAAUCCCACGGCUCAACCGGUGGAACUGCCUUUGAUACUGCAGAGCUUGAGUGCGCGGAGAGGGUGGCGGAAUUCCUGGUGUAGCAGUGACAUCCGUAGAUAUCAGGAGGAACACCGGUGGCGAAGGCGGCCAUCCUGGCCCGAUACUGACGCUGAGGUGCGAAAGCUGGGAGCACC